Molecule: ribosomal RNA, 422 nt
Filed under: uncultured cyanobacterium
Lineage: Bacteria; Bacillati; Cyanobacteriota
Description: bacterial SSU rRNA
Rfam family: Bacterial small subunit ribosomal RNA
Source: RNAcentral
GGAAUUUUCCGCAAUGGGCGAAAGCCUGACGGAGCAACGCCGCGUGAGGGAUGAAGGCCUCUGGGCUGUAAACCUCUUUUCUCAAGGAAGAAGAUCUGACGGUACUUGAUGAAUAAGCCACGGCUAAUUCCGUGCCAGCAGCCGCGGUAAUACGGGAGUGGCAAGCGUUAUCCGGAAUUAUUGGGCGUAAAGCGUCCGCAGGCGGUCUGUCAAGUCUGCUGUUAAAGCGUGGAGCUUAACUCCAUUUCGGCAGUGGAAACUGACAGACUAGAGUGUGGUAGGGGCAGAGGGAAUUCCCGGUGUAGCGGUGAAAUGCGUAGAUAUCGGGAAGAACACCAGUGGCGAAGGCGCUCUGCUGGGCCAUAACUGACGCUCAUGGACGAAAGCCAGGGGAGCGAAAGGGAUUAGAUACCCCUGUAGUC